Delphinapterus leucas (beluga whale) is the source of this 2492-nucleotide non-coding RNA. The record is from RefSeq and is a predicted model, not a curated record. NCBI's taxonomy places the organism in Eukaryota, Metazoa, Chordata, Mammalia, Artiodactyla, Monodontidae.
CCCGUGGGCGGGGCGGCCGCCUUCCGCGCACCUGUGCGAGCGCCCGCGGGUUCCCGAGCAUCUUCCCGCGCGGCCAGGCCCGGCCCGACGAGUGCCCCCUGCGCCCCCGGCCUGCCUUGGCGGCAGCGGGCCCGACACUCACCGCGUCCGUGGAGGCCGCGCCUGGAGCCCCGCCGCUCCGAGCAGCGCGCCGAGGCGGGGACGCGGGGACGUGGGCGGGAGGGCGGCCGCAGCCCCCGGCAGGGCGCGCAGGCUCCGGACUGGAGCGCGCCGGCGCGGCCCCGAGUCCAGACUCCAGAACAAAAAGGAAAACAUUCAGAACACCCAAGUAGAGGAAGCGCUGAAACUUGUUCUUGUAUCUGGAGACGGGGCCCCCACCAGCUCCAGGUCCCUGCAGCGGGAUCGGGACGCAGGACGACGAGGGACCGCCCGAACCUCGAGCCACGAUAAGGAGCAAGAUCCCCAAAGACCUGACAGCGGAGAGGGACGAAGUGCCCUCCGACCUGGGCUGCUUUCUGUUCCUGCGCACAGCUGCUUCCUGCCGGGUCAGCUCCAGUUAAGACUGGACCCCUGAUGCUCAGGGAGAGCCUGCUCGUGCACGGUAGACUUGAAGCGUGCAAACAUAUCACCACGCAAAACUGUGCCCAAAAAAUAGAACCGAAGCUCAUGGAAUCAUCCUGAGCGUGAUGGUUUACAGGCCCCUGAACGCAGAGUCUGGGGACCCGGGUUCCAGGUUCGGGGGACUCUGAACCACAUUUGGAAGCUGCCUGGAGCAGUGGAGAGAGCAAACCUUUGGAAUUCGGCCGGCUGGAUUUCCAACAACAAUUUCACCACUCCAAGUCCUGUGCAUUUUGGACAAGACACUGUGCCCACUGUCCUUCUGUGUAAAGAGGUGGUAUGGCUGCCCUCCCCACGGGACAGACCGAGACGAUGGGCACAAUGCAUUUCGUGCCUCGGGUGUUAAUCUUGGGGGAGCACCACUCACACUUGUCGCUUCUGUCACUGCCCCCCUGGGUGACCUCCAGCAAAUAUUUUUACCUCCCCAGUUGUGUCCCCCAUAGAGUUUGCACCGUGCGCACAAGAGGGAUGGCUGGUUAGUCGCAGCUGCUUGUUCCGAGCCCCGUUAGGACCCUGGAUGGUGUUUUCCUCCGUGUGCUAGUGCCAGAUAACAGAUCAUUUCCCCAAAGUGUUAACGGCUCAUAAGAGUUCAUGCACCACCCCACUCAGCCUUCCAAAAGGAAAAAAAAAAAAAAAGCAAUUAAAUUCCAGUAGCUGUCAGGAAUUGAUCCAACUGCUACAAAGCACUUUGAGUCUCUUGGCUUGAAAAAUUAAUUAGAAUAUCUGUGUGUUGUCGUGGAAACCGCAUUCCCUGGUUCAUUCUAUCCAUUUUGUACAAAAGGAAAUCCCUCGUCCCCCCAGUGCCCCCCUAUAUUCACCCAAGCCCAGCCUGCCUACUCUCUUCAGCUCUGAUGAACUCUGGGUGCGUCUGCAUCCUUUCGUAAGCUACUCCUGAAAUAUUGGAAGCUCUUUUUCUCAUGUCUGAGUGUUUCCAAGUAUCUUAUAAGCCGGUGCCUGAGAACCCUGUGCUCAGAAUAGAGGAUGCUGCCCAGCUCUCUGGAACAUCACGGACUCCGGACUGCCAACGGUGGACAUAGAUGGGACCGUGCAGCGGUCGUGUCAGCGCAAACAUUUCAUAUCAUACACAGUCCCUGGUCCAAGCUAAUGCCUUAGUUACCCUGAUUGGAACAGGACAACAGAGGCCUGUCUCUUUAGCCUCAUGCAACGGCCAGCACUGUGAUGGGGCGAAGUCAUCCUCAGUCACUGCCGAAUCAGUGAUCCAGUGAUGCCUCUUUGGGCUGAGCGCCACUCUCUAUUGCGCUGCACCGCGGUCUGCGUGGACUACGUCAGGUGGUCCUGCACGCACUUUUCCUCAGCAGACUGCAAGCUACCAGGAGGCGACAAAUUCUCGUCAAUGAGUCAAUAUUACCAUCAUUAAAUGGCCAAUAAGUUUAUUAGUAUCGAUCCUAGUAAGUCUUCUUUUGGAAAAGUAACAAAAAUUUGAUAGUUAUUUUAAAGUAUUUUCAAGGUAUGCAUUUAUAAAGUUAGAACAAGUUAUCUGCAAUUAAAUAUGACUUCACAGAAGUCUCUAUAUAGUGUAUCUAUAGGUAAGUGUAGGCAGAGUUCUGCAAAGUACUAGGUGUAGACACACACACACGCACACGCAGGACCCCAGGAGGAGGGGCCUCCUCCCAUUUGACAGCUGAGGAGAUUUAACUCUCAAAGGGUGUAAUGUAACUCUUCCAUUCUGUGUGAGGUGGCGCAGGAAUUCCAGCCCAACCCCGAAGCCCUUGCUUAUAUUCACAGUGAAACACUGUCCUUCCAAAUGAAUGAAUGACUCCACGCUUCAGAGAGCAAAUCCAGAAGGCUUAUGAGCACGAGAACCAUCCUCCUUGUACCAGGAGUCCGUGCGUUAAAAAUAAAAUUGGUAUCCC